GAGACGAGAGACGAGAGACGAGUGGCGUCGCGACUCAUUUAAUUAAGAACUGAGAACGCGACGGACGACGGACACGUUACGGAUCGGCUGCGGAACGACUGGCGUCGCGACUUAUUUAAUUGAAGAUAAUGACGCAGCUAUAGUGUCGCAUCGAGGGAUCGAGAUGAGGACAGUCUGAGAGGAGGAGGAGGCCUGGGAGAGGCAUCGGGCGCCAGCGGAACAACUUUGCGAAUCAACGGUAGCUACGUGGCAGAUAUAAUUCCGC
Long non-coding RNA from Temnothorax curvispinosus, 265 nucleotides. RefSeq lists it as uncharacterized. The record is from RefSeq and is a predicted model, not a curated record. NCBI's taxonomy places the organism in Eukaryota, Metazoa, Arthropoda, Insecta, Hymenoptera, Formicidae. The transcript is spliced from 4 exons.